Molecule: ribosomal RNA, 437 nt
Filed under: uncultured bacterium
Lineage: Bacteria
Description: bacterial SSU rRNA
Rfam family: Bacterial small subunit ribosomal RNA
Source: RNAcentral
AUUGAACGCUGGCGGCAUGCCUUACACAUGCAAGUCGAACGGCAGCACGGGAGCAAUCCUGGUGGCGAGUGGCGAACGGGUGAGUAAUAUAUCGGAACGUGCCCGGUCGUGGGGAUAACGUAGCGAAAGCUACGCUAAUACCGCAUACGAUCUACGGAUGAAAGCGGGGGAUCGCAAGACCUCGCGCGAUUGGAGCGGCCGAUAUCAGAUUAGGUAGUUGGUGAGGUAAAGGCUCACCAAGCCGACGAUCUGUAGCUGGUCUGAGAGGACGACCAGCCACACUGGGACUGAGACACGGCCCAGACUCCUACGGGAGGCAGCAGUGGGAAUUUUGGACAAUGGACGCAAGUCUGAUCCAGCCAUUCCGCGUGCAGGAUGAAGGCCCUCGGGUUGUAAACUGCUUUUGUACGGAACGAAAGGUUUCUAUUAAUACUAGG